Ziziphus jujuba (common jujube) is the source of this 2759-nucleotide RNA transcript. It is a transcript of the gene named glycerol-3-phosphate dehydrogenase [NAD(+)] 2, chloroplastic, with no coding region annotated. The record is from RefSeq and is a predicted model, not a curated record. The transcript has 11 exons. Lineage: Eukaryota; Viridiplantae; Streptophyta; Magnoliopsida; Rosales; Rhamnaceae.
AUACUAAUACAAUCAAAUACAAUACAAUAUUGUAUAUCAAAUGUUCCGAAACUGCAUAGGAAUAGGUAAAGUUAGGCGGUUUAGAUGAUAUAACUUUUGUUGACCCACCAUCCUAAGAGAAAUAAAAAAGAAAUGCAAUUUUUUUUCUUUGGGAAUCUGUGAAAUAAAAAUCAAACCUAACUUUGUAAGUUUUUUUUUUUUUUUUUAAGGUAAUAAUUCUAACUUGUAAAUAUUUUGGUGAAUAAUUCUUCUAACUUGUAACGUCAUGUCUUCAUUUCUUCAAAAAAGAAAAAACGAAAAAACAAAAAAAACAAAAAACAAAAAGAUGUAACUUCAUUGACACGGCAAUCACAUUUUAUCGGUUGGGGUUUGGGUUUAAUCAUCAAAUUGCUUAGGAGUAUGAAAAGCCCAAUGGGCUCAAUUGAAAAGAGUAUAUAUUAUAAAAUGGGAGUGUGGGGAGUGGUGGAAUACGCAUACGGCGUUCGGUAGAUGGAAUACAAUGAGAAAAUACCACGUGCGCUUAUACGGGAAUAGCAGCAACGGAUAAUCCAAGCUCCAAUUUUUCCUGAAACACCAAAAACAAAGAAAAGACUCUUUCUUUCUCUCUCAGUUUCUCAGUCUCAGUUAUUGUUGAGCUGCAAAGCAAUUAGCAAUGGCGAAAUUGAUAGAGGCCUCGUUGUUGGUGAACCCAGUUUUCCAUUCCGAUUCCAAUCCAUACUCCGAUAAUAACAUGAAGCUCUCAAGAUUCAUUUCCUUCAACUCCAAGAAACAACCACCACCCACUCUGCUUCUUCUCCGCCUACACUCUUCCACCACUUCUUGUUUUGCUGAUUCAACUCCUCCAUCUCCCUCCCCUCCUCCGCAUCCGCCCGGAGACCUUGACUUGGUUCUUGAUUCCGCUCCCGACCGCUCCCGAGACCGCCGUAGAGCCGUACGCUUGGCCUGGGAGAAACUGGUUCGGUGGUCCAAGUUUUGGCGCUCCAAAGCCAAGACCGACGUCCUCGAGCGCACCAAAAAGAUUGUGGUGCUUGGAGGUGGAUCUUUUGGCACCGCAAUGGCUGCCCAUGUUGCAGAUAGAAAGGCUCAGUUGGAAGUUAACAUGCUUGUACGUGAUCCUCAAAUUUGUCAUUCUAUCAAUGAGAAUCAUUAUAACUGUAAGUACUUCCCAGAACACAAGCUACCAGGAAAUGUAAUUGCCACAACCGAUGCCAAAUCUGCUUUGCUUGGUGCUGACUAUUGUUUUCAUGCCGUCCCUGUGCAGUUCAGCUCUUCUUUUCUAGAGGGAAUUGCAGAUUAUGUUGAUCCAAGUUUGCCAUUCAUAUCCCUUAGCAAGGGCUUGGAGCUUAAUACAUUAAGGAUGAUGUCUCAAAUUAUUCCCCGAGCAUUGAAGAAUCCACGCCAGCCUUUUAUUUCAUUAUCAGGGCCCUCUUUUGCAUUAGAACUGAUGAACAAAUUACCUACAGCAAUGGUUGUGGCAUCUAAAGACAAGAAAUUGGCGAAUGCAGCUCAGCAACUUCUUGCUUCUAGUCAUUUAAGGAUCAGCACUUCAAGUGAUGUCACAGGUGUGGAAAUUACAGGUGCACUGAAAAAUGUGCUUGCAAUAGCUGCAGGAAUUGUGGAAGGAAUGAAUCUUGGUAAUAAUUGUAUGGCAGCUCUUGUUGCACAAGGCUGUUCUGAGAUACGAUGGUUGGCCACAAAGAUGGGUGCAAAGGCGACAACGAUAACUGGUCUUUCAGGAACCGGAGAUAUCAUGCUUACAUGUUUUGUGAAUCUUUCCAGAAACAGAAGAGUAGGGGUCCGUCUUGGAUCUGGGGAGAAGCUUGAUGAUAUACUGAGUUCCAUGAAUCAGGUAGCUGAAGGUGUAUCAACAGCUGGAGCUGUGGUCGCAUUGGCCCAGAAAUAUAAAGUGAAGAUGCCAGUUUUAACAGCAGUUGCUCGGAUUAUUGAUAAUGAAUUGACACCGAAGAAGGCUGUUCUUGAAUUGAUGCGCCUUCCUCAGGUUGAAGAAGUGUGACUUGGACUGGACUCUUUCAAAGAAUAAGUACUUGGUUCUUAAACCGAAAGCAUAGGUUGAUCAAGACAUUUAUUUGUAAAGAUUUCACACACAUAUACAAUUCUUUCUCUAUUUUUGUUUUGUGCUCUCUCCUCAAACUUGGGAGUGGAAAGCAAUUUUUGGAAGUCAGGGAUUAUAGUUUCUGCAAAGCUUGGCCACUUUGUCAAUGCGGUAAAACCGAAGGAGAUAGUUCUGAAUGUUAAGGGGGAGCUGCUAAGCGUUCUUCCUGGCCAGCACUGGCCGCCUUAGUGUGCAUCCUCCUUCACACAAUUGGAUCAUACCACACUCUUACAGCACAGAGUCCCCUGCAGAAGGUGUUCAACUCCUCUGACAGCAAGGUGUUCAAAGUCCAGGUAGUAAACAAGUCCCAUCUUAUCCCUGGAAUUUGCUGUUGCAGCAAUGGUCAUGGCAUCUAAAGACAAGAAAUUGGCGAAUGGAAUCAGCAUUUCAAGUUAUUGUAUUUUCAUUAUGUCCACUGAACUCUGUGAGACUGUAACUAGGCAUAUAACUUGCUUGUAACUGCCAAACCCAGCCAUCAUAAUUCUAUCUCCAAUUUCAUUAUAGCAUGGCUUCUAUACGGUGCAAUGCCUAAAACAGUUUGUGUAAAAUUAAGUGGACUGGCCCAUCUUCUAUAUUUCUUUCUUAUUUCUUAACAUUGUUUAGCUAGCAAGCUAGAGCAUCUCCGAUAAUAAAUUCUAUUUUGGCA